CAUAGGUUAAUGAGGCGAACCGGGGGAACUGAAACAUCUAAGUACCCCGAGGAAAAGAAAUCAACCGAGAUUCCCCCAGUAGCGGCGAGCGAACGGGGAGGAGCCCAGAGCCUGAAUCAGUGUGUGUGUUAGUGGAAGCGUCUGGAAAGGCGCGCGAUACAGGGUGACAGCCCCGUACACAAAAAUGCACAUAUUGUGAGCUCGAUGAGUAGGGCGGGACACGUGGUAUCCUGUCUGAAUAUGGGGGGACCAUCCUCCAAGGCUAAAUACUCCUGACUGACCGAUAGUGAACCAGUACCGUGAGGGAAAGGCGAAAAGAACCCCGGCGAGGGGAGUGAAAAAGAACCUGAAACCGUGUACGUACAAGCAGUGGGAGCCUCUUAAUGGGGUGACUGCGUACCUUUUGUAUAAUGGGUCAGCGACUUAUAUUCUGUAGCAAGGUUAACCGAAUAGGGGAGCCGAAGGGAAACCGAGUCUUAACUGGGCGUUAAGUUGCAGGGUAUAGACCCGAAACCCGGUGAUCUAGCCAUGGGCAGGUUGAAGGUUGGGUAACACUAACUGGAGGACCGAACCGACUAAUGUUGAAAAAUUAGCGGAUGACUUGUGGCUGGGGGUGAAAGGCCAAUCAAACCGGGAGAUAGCUGGUUCUCCCCGAAAGCUAUUUA
Molecule: ribosomal RNA, 665 nt
Filed under: Escherichia coli
Lineage: Bacteria; Pseudomonadati; Pseudomonadota; Gammaproteobacteria; Enterobacterales; Enterobacteriaceae
Description: partial 23S ribosomal RNA
Rfam family: Bacterial large subunit ribosomal RNA
Source: RNAcentral